GUAUUCAUUUGCAUUCAAAGUGUCAGUCAAUUUCACAUUGUCUCUGUAUCCACAGGUUGGGACAAAAAGGGUGCCAUAGUACGUAGUACUAACAUUCAAUAAUGAUCCUUCCGCAGGUUCACCUACGGAAA
Molecule: unclassified non-coding RNA, 131 nt
Filed under: uncultured fungus
Lineage: Eukaryota; Fungi
Description: sequence contains ITS1
Source: RNAcentral